RNAcentral lists this ribosomal RNA (292 nucleotides) under uncultured Aeromicrobium sp. RNAcentral's name for it is "partial 16S ribosomal RNA". It matches the Rfam family "Bacterial small subunit ribosomal RNA", at positions 505 to 796 of the family's 1533-position model. The record is from RNAcentral. Lineage: Bacteria; Bacillati; Actinomycetota; Actinomycetes; Propionibacteriales; Nocardioidaceae.
GUGUCAGCAGCCGCGGUAAUACGUAGGGUCCGAGCGUUGUCCGGAAUUAUUGGGCGUAAAGGGCUCGUAGGCGGUUUGUCGCGUCGGGAGUGAAAACUCAGGGCUCAACCCUGAGCGUGCUUCCGAUACGGGCAGACUAGAGGUAUGCAGGGGAGAACGGAAUUCCUGGUGUAGCGGUGGAAUGCGCAGAUAUCAGGAGGAACACCGGUGGCGAAGGCGGUUCUCUGGGCAUUACCUGACGCUGAGGAGCGAAAGCAUGGGGAGCGAACAGGAUUAGAUACCCCCGUAGUCC